RNAcentral lists this ribosomal RNA (441 nucleotides) under uncultured bacterium. RNAcentral's name for it is "partial 16S ribosomal RNA". It matches the Rfam family "Bacterial small subunit ribosomal RNA", at positions 338 to 795 of the family's 1533-position model. The record is from RNAcentral.
CCUACGGGAGGCUGCAGUGGGGGAUCUUGCACAAUGGGGGGAACCCUGAUGCAGCGACGCCGCGUGGGUGAAGGAGUGCUUCGGCAUGUAAAGCCCUAUCGGCAGGGAAGAAGCAAGACGAUACCUGACUAAGAAGCCCCUGCUGACUACUUGCCAGCAGCCGCGGUAAUACGUAGGGGGCGCGCGUUAUCCGGAUUCACUGGGUGGAAAGGUAGCGUAGGCGGGCAUGCAAGCCAGGAGGGAAAGCCCGGGGCCCAACCCCGAGUAUGCCCUUGGAACUGCAUGGCUGGAGUGCGGGAGGGGAAGGCGGAAUUCCAGGUGUAGCGGUGAAAUGUGUAGAUAUAAGGAGGAACACCGGUGGCGAAGGCGGCCUGCUGGACCGCGACUGACGUUGAGGCUCGAAAGCGUGGGGAGCGAACAGGAUUAGAUACCCUAGUAGUC